Anastrepha obliqua is the source of this 1326-nucleotide RNA transcript. It is a transcript of the gene named farnesol dehydrogenase-like, with no coding region annotated. Lineage: Eukaryota; Metazoa; Arthropoda; Insecta; Diptera; Tephritidae. The transcript has 7 exons. The record is from RefSeq and is a predicted model, not a curated record.
CUUCAAUCAGUUACGGUUUGACGUUGAGAGUGAACGUAAGCUGCGCUGCACUGAUUUCUAUUGUAUAGAGUGAAUCGAACGAAUUUCGCAUAAGUGCCUGCGUACCGAUUAUUUAUCCACUUCUAAAAAUGUGCAGCCUCAAGGACAAUAGAUCAGGAGUGGCACUUGUAACUGGCGCCUCCUCUGGUAUUGGAGCCCAAAUUUCAGUGUUUCUCGCUAAUAAAGGAAUAACCGUUUUAGGAUUGGCACGACGGGUGGCAUUAGUUGAAAAUUUGAAUGCGCAUGUAUUAGGUGGUGGUAGAAUAGUCCCUUACCACUGUGAUCUAACCAGCGAGGACAGCAUAUUUCUUGCUUUUGAAUAUUUACGGAACUCCUUUCCGCCACUUACAAUACUCGUUUGCAAUGCGGGCAUACUGAAGUCGAAUUUUCUAGCAGAAUCACCUGGCCAGGACAUAAAAGAAUUAUUCGAUGUUAAUGUCGUUGGUACUUCCAUAUGCCUACGUGAGGGUCUGAAGUUAUUACGCGAAACUAAAACGAAGGGUCACUUUAUUGUUAUGAACAGCAUCCUUGGGCACCAUAUACCGAACCUACCGGUGCCGUUAUUUAGCGCUUACCCAGCAACGAAGCACGCCAUCACAGCGCUGUGCCAAACAGUGCGCCAGGAAAUUAAAUAUUUCAAGUUAAAUAUUAAAUUAACGAGUAUAAGUCCUGGAUUGGUAGACACGGAUCUGUUGAAUGUUUACUCUGACGAUAUUAUCAACUAUCCAAAACUUACAGCCGCAGAUGUCGCCAAUGCGGUUAUGUUUGCAUUAAACACACCAAAUUAUGUGCAGGUGGAAGAAAUCAUUAUCAAAGCUAUGGACCGCUAUGAUGAAUAAAAUCAUGACUUUCAUAAGAUCAAAUGGUAGAGAAGCUUUCCUUUGAGGGUCAUCAGCGAAAUUGAAUAAAAAAAACUUUCCGCAGCUAUUUUCUGAAAUGUUAUAAAAAAUCAUAGUUUUAAGUAAAUAUUCAAAUAUCGGAGUAGAAUCAAUUUCAUAAAAACAAUAUACAUAUAAUUAGCGGCAUAAAUUCUUGACACAAUUCCAAAAAUACUAUUUUGCGAGGCCUUCAAAAUAGACAUUGGUUCUGUCGACAUUUUUAUAUCCUAUAUUAUUAUUAUCGUGCCUGUAUAUUUUCGCAGUUCUAUGUAACUUUUUGUUAUUUGUUUCAUUUUAAUAUUAGCUAGAAAAAUAUUUGCGUAUGUACUAUGAACUAGUCUGGUAAAAAUGCUAUUUUUUAAUAAAAUGCGUUAUGGCUUUGUGCAACAAAUAAAGUUUUAAAAAAGCA